Molecule: ribosomal RNA, 440 nt
Filed under: uncultured bacterium
Lineage: Bacteria
Description: partial 16S ribosomal RNA
Rfam family: Bacterial small subunit ribosomal RNA
Source: RNAcentral
CCUACGCGUGGCAGCAGUGGGGGAUAUUGCACAAUGGGGGAAACCCUGAUGCAGCGACGCCGCGUGUAGGAAGACGGUCCUCUGGAUUGUAAACUACUGUCCCCAGGGACGAAGAUGACGGUACCUGGGGAGGAAGCUCCGGCUAACUACGUGCCAGCAGCCGCGGUACUACGUAGGGAGCGAGCGUUGUCCGGAAUUACUGGGUGUAAAGGGAGAGUAGGCGGGGAUGGAAGGUGGGUGUUAAAUCUACCGGCUCAACUGGGAGUCGCACUCAAAACUGCAGCUCUUGAGUGAAGUAGAGGCAGGCGGAAUUCCUAGUGUAGCGGUGAAAUGCGUAGAUAUUAGGAGGAACACCAGUGGCGAAGGCGGCCUGCUGGGCUUUUACUGACGCUGAGGCUCGAAAGUGUGGGGAGCAAACAGGAUUAGAUACCCUUGUAGUC